GAUAAUCACCAUAUCGGAGCCACCAUGGGGGUGAGCUUGACUCCCUUCCCUGACACACUUUUAACUGGACACCAACAGUAAGGACCUAGGCAAAGGCUAAUUGAUAGAUAGAAGUGUAUCACAGCAUACAUUUAGAAAGUGUAUCUUCAAAACAGCAGACCAGGCAAAGCUUUUGUGCUUAGAGUACUAUUGACAGUUUUGGCUGCCUGUCUUGAAUCUAGAACCUUGAGCCAAAAUCAAAGGAAACCAUACUGUUGAUAGCAAGAAGAUUACCACAAGAUAUUUUUGAAGUGUUUUCCCAGGUUAGAUGUUUAAAGAGUGGAGACAUAUAUUUGGUCCUUGAAAUUUGUUAUAAAACCUUUCUCAUGCCAUGUCUUAAGAAUUAUAAUGGACACUUGAUGAUUGCCAAGAGGGGGAGCAAAAACAGCGAACAGCAGAGCUGGUUGGUCUGAACUCAGUGCAGCUUUCAGUGAGAACAAAAGCUGUCCAGCAAAGAGUCACAUCAUUCAUUCUCUAGCCUCUCCAUUCAAAGGGCAGAGCUUUUUUUUUUUUUUAAGAAAACUCAACCUCUUAAGGCAUUAGGAAUUUAGCUGAGACCAGCAGAAUUGAAAACUCUGGCAAUAAAAUAUAGGCUCAACCAUAACCCUUCUGGCAAGUUCCUUCUCAGAGAAGGAAGUGGGAGUAAAAUGUGGCCUUCCCCACUUCUCUUACAUCACCACUGUCACAAUGUCCCCGCUGGCCCGGCCAGUUCCUAGAGGGAAGGGUGGACUGGUUUUAGUACUCUGGAGAAAAAAAAAACCAAGCUGCAGUAUUUGAGGUGCAGUAUGAUAUUUCCUAAUCUUUCCUAUUUCUUAACAAAAAAGAUUUUAAAGCACUUCUCUAGUCAUUGAACUUUUGUUCUUUACAUACUAUUGAUAUAUUCUUUUUCUACUCAAAGUGCCAAAGGCUACAGUUUUUAAACGACUUAACAAAUUGUACCACACUGUUAAGGAACUAUAACGAUAGACACUAGAAUUCAGACCUCUGCAUGUAUAUUUGAUAACACAUCUUUUGUAAAAAAUAAAUAAUUACAAAAAAUUUGUUUACAUUCCACUGGUACCUUAAUUUAAAAGAAAUCAGACUAACAGGUGGUAUCUCUUCUUAGUGUUCUAUUUAUCUUACUUGCUAACGAGAGCAAUUCUUCUUUUGUUAGGCUGUGCUUUAUUGAUGAAACCGAGUAUUGAAUAAAGAGAGUUAAUUAUCUUUUUAAAGUAAAUAAAACUAUGAAUAUAUAAUAUAUAUGAAGUAUCGUGUUUAAUAAAAAUGUUAUGCAAUGUUUUCCAAACUGAUAAAGUUUGUAAAGUGCUAUAAAUGUAUUUUGUUAAGUACAGAUCAAAGCUAUCGUGUGAGUAUAUUGUGCUGGCAUCAUAGAAAUAAAGAUUAGAUUUCUUCAUC
This 1434-nucleotide long non-coding RNA is filed under the name Rattus norvegicus (Norway rat). RNAcentral describes it as "long non-coding RNA NONRATT015733". The record is from RNAcentral. Lineage: Eukaryota; Metazoa; Chordata; Mammalia; Rodentia; Muridae.